RNAcentral lists this transfer RNA (71 nucleotides) under Acropyga goeldii. Its description in RNAcentral is "tRNA-Glu". Lineage: Eukaryota; Metazoa; Arthropoda; Insecta; Hymenoptera; Formicidae. The record is from RNAcentral.
AUUUAUAUAGUUUAAAAAUAAAAACAUUAUAUUUUCAUUAUAAAAAAAAUAAUUUUAUUUAUUUAUAAAUU